GAUGAACGCUGGCGGCGUGCCUAAUACAUGCAAGUCGAGCGAACAGACGAGGAGCUUGCUCCUCUGACGUUAGCGGCGGACGGGUGAGUAACACGUGGAUAACCUACCUAUAAGACUGGGAUAACUUCGGGAAACCGGAGCUAAUACCGGAUAAUAUAUUGAACCGCAUGGUUCAAUAGUGAAAGACGGUUUUGCUGUCACUUAUAGAUGGAUCCGCGCCGCAUUAGCUAGUUGGUAAGGUAACGGCUUACCAAGGCAACGAUGCGUAGCCGACCUGAGAGGGUGAUCGGCCACACUGGAACUGAGACACGGUCCAGACUCCUACGGGAGGCAGCAGUAGGGAAUCUUCCGCAAUGGGCGAAAGCCUGACGGAGCAACGCCGCGUGAGUGAUGAAGGGCUUCGGAUCGUAAAACUCUGUUAUUAGGGAAGAACAAAUGUGUAAGUAACUAGGCACGUCUUGACGGUACCUAAUCAGAAAGCCACGGCUAACUACGUGC
This 498-nucleotide ribosomal RNA is filed under the name uncultured bacterium. Its description in RNAcentral is "partial 16S ribosomal RNA". It matches the Rfam family "Bacterial small subunit ribosomal RNA", at positions 28 to 508 of the family's 1533-position model. The record is from RNAcentral.